Molecule: transfer RNA, 103 nt
Filed under: Fusarium poae
Lineage: Eukaryota; Fungi; Ascomycota; Sordariomycetes; Hypocreales; Nectriaceae
Rfam family: tRNA
About the family: Transfer RNA (tRNA) molecules are approximately 80 nucleotides in length.
Source: Rfam by way of RNAcentral
GUCGGUGUGGCUCAGUUGGUUAGAGCGUUGGUCUCAUAUGUCCAUGACUUGGUUAAACACCAGGGUAAUCCAAAGGUCGAGAGUUCGAGCCUCUCCACCGACA